This 492-nucleotide ribosomal RNA is filed under the name uncultured bacterium. RNAcentral's name for it is "partial 16S ribosomal RNA". It matches the Rfam family "Bacterial small subunit ribosomal RNA", at positions 29 to 507 of the family's 1533-position model. The record is from RNAcentral.
AGUGAACGCUGGCGGUAGGCUUAACACAUGCAAGUCGAACGGCAGCACACUAAGAUCUUGCUCUUACGGGUGGCGAGUGGCGGACGGGUGAUGAAUACAUCGGAAUCUACUUUUUCGUGGGGGAUAACGUAGGGAAACUUACGCUAAUACCGCAUACUACCUACGUGUGACAGCAGGGGAUCUUCGGACCUUGCGCGAUUGAAUGCGCCGAUGUCGGAUUAGCUAGUUGGCGGGGUGAAGGCCCACCAAGGCGACGAUCCGUAGCUGGUCUGAGAGGAUGAUCGGCCACAAUAGAAGUGAGACACGGUCCAGACUACUACGGGAGGCAGCAGUGGGGGAUAUUGGACAAUGGGCGGAAGCAUGAUCCAGCCGUACCGCGUGGGUGAAGAAGGCCUUCGGGUUGUAAAGCCCUUUUGUUGGGAAAGAAAAGCAGCAGGUUAAUACCCCGCUGUUCUGACGGUACCCAAAGAAUAAGCACCGGCUAACUUCGUG